This is a long non-coding RNA of Saccostrea echinata, 438 nucleotides long. RefSeq lists it as uncharacterized. NCBI's taxonomy places the organism in Eukaryota, Metazoa, Mollusca, Bivalvia, Ostreida, Ostreidae. The record is from RefSeq and is a predicted model, not a curated record. The transcript is spliced from 3 exons.
UGACUGCCCAAUGGAUGAGAGAUGCAUGCAUUCAGUAGAGGAGACAGUUUGUCCUAGUGAUCAUCAAAAUUUAUGCAGGUGUACUUUAGGUUGUGAGAUUGAUAAUCUAAUUGUCCGUUAUGAACAGUGGCGACCCAUUCCAGGAAAAGGAUUCUGCAAGUGUAUCAAUUCUUUAACAAAUGAAUCAGACUGUGUGGAGCACUUAGACUUAUGAAUGAGACAGAUGAAAUAAAGAGAUGAUGAACAUUUUCAUGAAGUUUAAACUUAAAAGAUUCUCAUAAAUGCUGAUGUUGAGCAAGUUUUUUUUUUUUUUUUUUAAUUUCAUAUGUGUGCUCUAAUGAGACAAUACUUACACAUCUUCAAUAAUCCAUUUUAUCAAAAUUUUAAAGUUUGAACUAUAUUACUUAAAAAAUAUUAAGGUCACAAUGAACCAGGUAC